This 402-nucleotide ribosomal RNA is filed under the name uncultured bacterium. Its description in RNAcentral is "bacterial SSU rRNA". It matches the Rfam family "Bacterial small subunit ribosomal RNA", at positions 97 to 518 of the family's 1533-position model. The record is from RNAcentral.
GGCGGACGGGUGAGUAACGCGUGGGUAACCUGCCUCAUACACCGGGAUAACAGUUGAAACGGCUGCUAAUACCGGAUAAGCAUACAGUACCGCAUGGUACAGUGUGAAAAACUCAGGUGGUAUGAGAUGGACCCGCGUCUGAUUAGCUAGUUGGUAGGUAACGGCUUACCAAGGCGACGAUCAGUAGCCGACUUGAGAGAGUGAUCGGCCACAUUGGGACUGAGACACGGCCCAAACUCCUACGGGAGGCAGCAGUGGGGAAUAUUGCACAAUGGGGGAAACCCUGAUGCAGCGACGCCGCGUGAAGGAUGAAGUAUUUCGGGUAUGUAAACUUCUAUCAGCAAGGAAGAAAAUGACGGUACUUGACUAAGAAGCCCCGGCUAAAUACGUGCCAGCCGCCGC